Molecule: ribosomal RNA, 273 nt
Filed under: uncultured bacterium
Lineage: Bacteria
Description: partial 16S ribosomal RNA
Rfam family: Bacterial small subunit ribosomal RNA
Source: RNAcentral
CUUCUCCGCCGGCGACCGCGCACGGUGAGUAACACGUAUGCAACCUGCCCCUGUCAGGGGGACAACCCGCCGAAAGGCGGGCUAAACCCGCGUACAUGCCACCGGGGCAUCCCGGAGGCAGGAAAGGCUUCGGCCGGACAGGGAUGGGCAUGCGGCGCAUUAGGCAGUAGGCGGGGUAACGGCCCACCUAACCGACGAUGCGUAGGGGUUCUGAGAGGAAGGUCCCCCACACUGGUACUGAGACACGGACCAGACUCCUACGGAAGGCAGCAG